GCGUUCCAUGGGGCCACGACAAAUCCUUUCCAGUGCUGUAUCACAAAUCAAUACCAUAUGUUGCUAUUUUAUUUUAUCAUGGACGUAUUAUAUUGAAAAUAAAGUAUUUCACACACAGGCUCUCGUUGAGUGUCCCCCCCUUUUUCAUUUUAUUUUGUUAAGUUUCCAUUUGAAAGUAUUCUUUUCAUAUUUCAUUUUUUUCUUUCUUGUAAAACUCUUAUUCUGGCGAGUUAACCAUACUUGUUUAUAUUUGUUGUCCUCUAUUCUUUUGUAUGAGUAUUCUUAUUUCUACACAUAAGAAUAUACAGAGGGUUAUACAGAGGGUGACCUAAACGAGCACCUGACUUUCAUGUGUCAUGAUAUUCCUCAUUGACAAAUGUUUUGCGCUUUUAGAUAUUUUGUUUCUGUUUUGAAUUAUUUUCGUGUGUUUGCUAACAGACAGCGGCUGUUGGGAAUACUCAAUAAAAAACCUAAGAUAGGUUACAGUCUUUCCUAAAUCACAACAAUUUUGUGUCAGGAUUUCUGUGUAAUAGCGGUCAUUACUGGUUCUUUGUUUAUAAAAUGUAUUAAAAAUUUUUGUUCCGUGUAUGUUUGGUAAUAAUAUGCGAUUCUCUCUAAACUUGCGAAUAAAGAAGAUUUCCUACUUUGUGUCUAUCACUGUUGGAUUAAUUAGGUCCAGUUGAGUUUCGAAUAUCUGUGAAUAAAUUAAGGAAAAUGGAC
Molecule: long non-coding RNA, 720 nt
Filed under: Mytilus galloprovincialis (Mediterranean mussel)
Lineage: Eukaryota; Metazoa; Mollusca; Bivalvia; Mytilida; Mytilidae
Source: RNAcentral